This is a long non-coding RNA of Zea mays, 2630 nucleotides long. RefSeq lists it as uncharacterized. The record is from RefSeq and is a predicted model, not a curated record. NCBI's taxonomy places the organism in Eukaryota, Viridiplantae, Streptophyta, Magnoliopsida, Poales, Poaceae. The transcript is spliced from 4 exons.
UAGCCUAACUGAGAUAGAGGUAUGCUCCGCAUGCUGGGCGUUAACCAGGGAGUCGACUUCCACUUUUGCCCUUCCUCUAUCCAUCACUCACGAGCGCUCCAACAUCGGCCGUGAUGGCGGCGGCUGCGCCGUCAUAUUCGGCAACAACAACUGAGUUUGGAGCCACGAGAUCUUUGUCGCCGGCAACAGUCCCGGAGUCGCCCAGGUUCGGAUCCAUGGAGGCACAAAUCACUGCAUCGGCCACAGAUCCGAAGUCGCCUCCUCGUCCUUCCUUCGCUAGAUGUUCUCCUUCGCCGGCGGUCUUGUUGCUAGAGGCGCCCCCGACCUGUGCAUCCGUUUCAACGCCAACUCCUCCACCAGCUAACUCAUUCGGAGUAGGUUUAGAAAUUGAUUGGGAUUCAAUUCAGCUAGACCCUAGAUGGGAGGAGGAAGACUACAAGAAGUUGUUAACGUGGAAGUGGUGUAUGAUACACUGGGCCUGACAAAUGAGGUGAUGGGUGGAACCAAUUGUGAUGGUUGGCAAAACGAUUAUGGUGAUGCAGGGGCAGCUAUAGAAUGCAAGGACAUUGACGAUGACAUUGUAAUGUUUGAUAUGAAAAAUCCAGUUAUGAGGCUUGGUAACAUAUAUAUAUAGUAGCAUGAAGGAGUUUAGGCUCGCAAUGAUCCAAUAUGCAAUUAACAAGGAAUUUGAGCUAGGCAUUGAAGCUACUAGUACUCGAAGGUAUAGAGGUUAUUGUAAAGGGGAUGAUUGUCCAUGGAGUAUUCAUGCCAGAAAAGAAGUAGAAGAAUCGCCUAUCAUCAUUGUUACUGCCAUGACAGAUAUCCACACUUGUACAUCUAGUGGUAGGUGAAGGACAAAGACACCUACUAGUGGUUGGGUUGCUGCCCAAGCAAUACCUCUCUUGAAGAAGAAACCUGGCAUGGGAGCCAAGGAGUUGCAAAAUGCACUACAUGACACUUAUAAUGUUCAGAUUGCAUAUCUAACUCUUUGGAGAGGGAGAGAGAAGGCUUUGUAUGAGUUGUUUGGUAGUUAGGAGGAUAGUUUCCAACUUUGUUCUCUUGGAAGGAAGCUGUGUUGGAGAAAAGUUUAAGAAAGCUUACGAGGGAAGAAUAGAGCAACUAGGAGAUAAGUCUUUUUGGCCAAAAGUGGAGAUGGCAAAUGAGGUGGGGGCACCACUGGGUAGGAGAGGUGUGGGCAGACAAAGGAAAAAUAGAAUCAAAGGUUGCCUAGAAGGCGGUAGGGGCAAGAAAGCAUGUGCAAACGAAACUGUAAAGCAAUGGAAGGUAAUUCGGGGACAAUAAGGAUGUCUUUGGUUUGAAGUCAAAGUAGGAUGAGGCGGGGGCGACACCGUCCCCUCAAUUUUUUGGGAUCACGCCGUCACCAAAAAAUUACUCCGGUAUUUAUUUCACCCCACGUGAUUCUCAUCCAAACACUAUAGAAACUGUAGCCAUCCCCUUCCAUCCCUCCUUAUACAUCCAACCAAACACACCCUAAAUGUUUAUAUUGUGGGGAGCUAGGCCACAAGAAGAACAGCCCUAAAUGUCCUUUAAAUGGCACGAAGAAGAGGCGUGUGUUUUAUGUGUUGAUCUUUGUUCCUGUUUCCUGUUCUGUUUUUUUUUUCAAAAACUUACAGCUGGUGUGUAUUCUUAUAGGCCAAGGAAGCAGCGACAUAACUCUACUCAAAAAUGGUUUUAUGUGUUGAUCUUUGUUCCUGUUUCCUGUUCUGUUUUUUUCAAAAACUUACAGCUGGUCUGUAUUCUUAUAGGCCAAGGAAGCAGCGACAUUACUCAAAAAUGGUUUCCUCGCGACGACAGAUUUACACAAGAACCUAGAACACCGCAUUUCGACAAAGUUAUACAAGACCCUGGUACACCACAUGAACAGCCAUCGUCUUCGCAGCCACUUCCAAGGGUAUUGAUAAAAAAAAUCACUCCAAGAAAGAGGAAGUCGGUUCCACUAAGCAUGGACGAGAUGUAGUAUCUGUUAGUUGUAUCAUCCAUGUGUUGUCAGCAUGUGACUGCAGACAUGUGCCAUGUAUCAGACUUAUUGUAUCAGACUACGUUCAGCCUACUUGUUAGUAGCUGAGUUAUUGUGUUUCCUACUACGUUCAGACUACAUCUAUCAGACUUAUUACAUCUCGUUCAGACUUAUGUGUUUCCUGUUUGUGCCAUGUAUCAGUGGAAGUCUCAAUGCCCUGGGAAAAGAAGAAGAGAGCCACGAGAAAGGAAGGGGCAAAACUGGAAGUCUCAAUGUCGCUCCCUGGUUAACGCCCAGCGUUCUCAGUUCCAAAUGUGAAAGAACAUCAGCUUUCAACCAUUGAUAGUCAUGGAUCUCCUCCUCUUGGUGGUGGUACUAUCACAGGCAGCAAAUUGGGUAGAUAAUGGUAUGGUGAAGAGGAUAAGGGAUGUUUCGUUCUCCAGGAGAGUAUCUCCAUAGUUGGAAAGCCACAUUAUAUAUGAUGCACGUGGGUUUGGGAUCCACUUGUGGAAUUUUGUUUUAUCAUACUUUCCUGUGGGUUUUGGAAUCCACUAUGAUACUAGCAACAGGCUAGACACAUGAAUCUAGAGAAUGUUUCCCACAGUUCGUAUUGUGCCUAGGGGAAAACUAUAAAUGGAAAAGGUGCAAAACA